Humulus lupulus (European hop) is the source of this 666-nucleotide long non-coding RNA. RefSeq lists it as uncharacterized. The transcript has 4 exons. Lineage: Eukaryota; Viridiplantae; Streptophyta; Magnoliopsida; Rosales; Cannabaceae. The record is from RefSeq and is a predicted model, not a curated record.
CUCAUUUUGGCUCUUGGUACCGUCAACUAGGAAGAGAGAGAGAGAGAAGGGCAGCAUGAGGAGCUAGAGAGAGAAGGAGAGAAAAGAAGGAAGAAAGGGAGAAAGAGAGAGAGAGAGAUCAAGGAAGAAGAAGAAGGAAAAAAGCUAGGCUCAAGGGUUGUAGGUGCCAAAAAAGAAGAACCAACUUUGUGAGGUUGAUUUCUAUCAAGGAGGUUUGCAAUGGUAGUGCAACUUGUGCCACGUGUGCAUGACCCAUGCACACGUGGGGUAUGUAUUUUGAGCAUGAGUAUUCUUACGUGAUUCUAAGAGAUGAACAUUUGGUUAUGAUUAUGGGCUCGUUGCGACGUUUUCUCAUUUUGCUUUGCUUGGACCUGAGGUAAACAAUAGGGUUUCUCUCUGGCACGCGCAGUGAUGUGGGGAGCUCCGAUGUCUGAGUAUGUAUGGUGUGGGGUUUUCCUAUGAAUGAAUAAACGAUCAAUAUGAGCACCAAGAUUUAAUGAAACUAUGUAAUGGAUUUUAUUUUCAAAUACGACAGUGGGACUUAAACUUUUAUUUUCAUUUAAAUAAUGCAUUAGAAUUGUUGACGCCAUUUUCUGUCAACCUAAAAAGGAAAGCAAUUAAACUAGAAUAUAUCAGAGGAAAUAAAAGAAGAUGAAAACAAGAGGA